Molecule: ribosomal RNA, 465 nt
Filed under: Vreelandella stevensii
Lineage: Bacteria; Pseudomonadati; Pseudomonadota; Gammaproteobacteria; Oceanospirillales; Halomonadaceae
Description: partial 16S ribosomal RNA
Rfam family: Bacterial small subunit ribosomal RNA
Source: RNAcentral
CCUACGGGCGGCUGCAGUGGGGAAUAUUGGACAAUGGGCGAAAGCCUGAUCCAGCCAUGCCGCGUGUGUGAAGAAGGCCUUCGGGUUGUAAAGCACUUUCAGUGGGGAAGAAAGCCUUGGGGCUAAUACCCUCGAGGAAGGACAUCACCCACAGAAGAAGCACCGGCUAACUCCGUGCCAGCAGCCGCGGUAAUACGGAGGGUGCGAGCGUUAAUCGGAAUUACUGGGCGUAAAGCGCGCGUAGGCGGUCUGAUAAGCCGGUUGUGAAAGCCCCGGGCUCAACCUGGGAACGGCAUCCGGAACUGUCAGGCUAGAGUGCAGGAGAGGAAGGUAGAAUUCCCGGUGUAGCGGUGAAAUGCGUAGAGAUCGGGAGGAAUAACAGUGGCGAAGGCGGCCUUCUGGACUGACACUGACGCUGAGGUGCGAAAGCGUGGGUAGCAAACAGGAUUAGAUACCCCGGUAGUC